This 406-nucleotide ribosomal RNA is filed under the name uncultured bacterium. Its description in RNAcentral is "partial 16S ribosomal RNA". It matches the Rfam family "Bacterial small subunit ribosomal RNA", at positions 30 to 526 of the family's 1533-position model. The record is from RNAcentral.
AUUGAACGCUGGCGGCAGGCCUAACACAUGCAAGUCGAACGAGUGGCGGACGGGUGAGUAAUGUCUGGGAAACUGCCCGAUGGAGGGGGAUAACUACUGGAAACGGUAGCUAAUACCGCAUACCAUCGGAUGUGCCCAGAUGGGAUUAGCUAGUAGGUGGGGUAACGGCUCAACUAGGCGACGAUCCCUAGCUGGUCUGAGAGGAUGACCAGCCACACUGGAACUGAGACACGGUCCGGACUCAUACGAGAGGCAGCAGUGGGGAAUAUUGAACAGUGGGAGAAAACCGGAUGCAGCCAUGCAGCGUGUAUGAAGAAGGCCUUCGGGUUGUAAAGUACUUUCAGCGAGGAGGCGUUACUAGCAGAAGAAGCACCGGCUAACUCCGUGCCAGCAGCCGCGGUAAUAC